RNAcentral lists this unclassified non-coding RNA (192 nucleotides) under uncultured Russula. Its description in RNAcentral is "sequence contains ITS1". Lineage: Eukaryota; Fungi; Basidiomycota; Agaricomycetes; Russulales; Russulaceae. The record is from RNAcentral.
UCGUAACAAAAGAGGUGCGAGGGCUGUCGCUGACCCUCAAAGGUCGUGCACGCCCGAGUGCUUCCACACAAUCCAUCUCACCCCUUUGUGCAUCACCGCGUGGGUCCCUCCUUUGCGGGAAGGGCCUGCGUUUUUAUCAUAAAACUCGACGCAGUGUAGAAUGUUUAUUUUUGCGGUCACACGCAAUCAAUA